Molecule: ribosomal RNA, 413 nt
Filed under: Xanthomonas sp.
Lineage: Bacteria; Pseudomonadati; Pseudomonadota; Gammaproteobacteria; Lysobacterales; Lysobacteraceae
Description: bacterial SSU rRNA
Rfam family: Bacterial small subunit ribosomal RNA
Source: RNAcentral
CACCUGGCGCACAUCGCGAGGUAUGUUUAUGCGUGAAAAAAGGGAAACUUACGCUAAUACCGCAUACGACCUUCGGGUGAAAGCAGGGGACCUUGGGGCCUUGCACGGAUAUAUGACCCAAUGUCGGAUUAGCUAGGUGGCGGGGUAAAGGCCCACCAAGGCGACAAUGCGUAGAUGGUCUGAGAGGAUGAUCAGCCACUCUGGAACUGACACACCGCCCACACUCCUACGGGAGGCAGCAUUGGGGAAUAUUGGACAAUGGGCGCAAGCCUGAUCCCGCCAUACCGCGUGGGUGAAGAAGGUCUUCAGGUUGUAAAGCCCUUUUGGUGGGAAAGAAAAUUAAUCCAUUAAUACCCGGUUGUUCCGACGGUACCCAAAGAAUAAGCACCGGCUAACUUCGUGCCAGCAGCUAC